GCUCAGCAACAUUCCAGUUCCAGCAAGAGGUUCUGUAAACCUGAGCUUGAUCAGCGUAGAGUUUUGAAGAAUGGGACUCCAGCUACCCGAGGAACGGAAGGUUCGUGAUCUCCGAACAACGUGAAGUGGUAAAGCUUCGAAAUCCAGGUAAGGGACUCGGGACUCUCUAUUGGCUAGUGGUUUUCCAUAUUUGUUUAUAUACGUGAUGCAUGAUGAAAAUAUAUUGUUAGUUCAAAUUUAACAUGUUUUUAAGUUGACGUGCGUAUAAGAUUUU
Molecule: long non-coding RNA, 274 nt
Filed under: Rosa chinensis
Lineage: Eukaryota; Viridiplantae; Streptophyta; Magnoliopsida; Rosales; Rosaceae
Description: sRNA RchiOBHm_Chr7g0219761
Source: RNAcentral